This 634-nucleotide ribosomal RNA is filed under the name uncultured bacterium. Its description in RNAcentral is "bacterial SSU rRNA". It matches the Rfam family "Bacterial small subunit ribosomal RNA", at positions 9 to 655 of the family's 1533-position model. The record is from RNAcentral.
GAGUUUGAACCUGGCUCAGGAUGAACGCUGGCGGCGUGCCUAAUACAUGCAAGUCGAGCGAACCACUUCGGUGGUGAGCGGCGAACGGGUGAGUAACACGUAGGUGAUCUGCCCAUCAGACGGGGACAACGAUUGGAAACGAUCGCUAAUACCGGAUAGGACGAAAGUUUAAAGGUGCUUCUGGCACCGCUGAUGGAUGAGCCUGCGGCGCAUUAGCUAGUUGGUAGGGUAAAGGCCUACCAAGGCGACGAUGCGUAGCCGACCUGAGAGGGCGAACGGCCACACUGGGACUGAGACACGGCCCAGACUCCUACGGGAGGCAGCAGUAGGGAAUCUUCGGCAAUGGGCGAAAGCCUGACCGAGCAACGCCGCGUGAAUGAUGAAGGCCUUCGGGUUGUAAAAUUCUGUUAUAAGGGAAGAACGACUUUAGUAGGAAAUGGCUAGAGUGUGACGGUACCUUAUGAGAAAGCCACGGCUAACUACGUGCCAGCAGCCGCGGUAAUACGUAGGUGGCGAGCGUUAUCCGGAAUUAUUGGGCGUAAAGAGCGCGCAGGUGGUUGAUUAAGUCUGAUGUGAAAGCCCACGGCUUAACCGUGGAGGGUCAUUGGAAACUGGUCGACUUGAGUGCAGAAGA